This is a long non-coding RNA of Bactrocera neohumeralis, 1638 nucleotides long. RefSeq lists it as uncharacterized. Lineage: Eukaryota; Metazoa; Arthropoda; Insecta; Diptera; Tephritidae. The record is from RefSeq and is a predicted model, not a curated record. The transcript is spliced from 3 exons.
AUGAGAUAGGUAUAGAAGUAAUCAGCAAUUUGUAAAUAAUUUUUCAAGUUAAAACCAAAUUACUCGACAAAAGAAGGAUAUAAAUUUUUAUAUAUGUAUAUAAUUGUGAUACUUUGCAAGAAAAGCAAUUCGCAUUUAUGGCAUACAUCAAUUGCAAGUGCAAGUAACGCCAUUUGUAAUGAACAGCAAUGCUGAUUACCAAAUUGUGUUAAGCUUAUACUUUAAAGUGCAGAUCAGCGAGCAAAUUAGUAAAAUGACUCCACAUUUUCUCACGUUGCACUGUUUUGGUGUUACAAAUGAGAAUGACACCAUAAAUUGGUGUUAAUAUUGCUCCCAAAGGUGUAGAAUUCACACUUUACUUUUUUGUGUGUAUUAGGUUUAGACUGUAUUGAGACGACAUAUGUAUGUAAAAUGUGUAUCGGUAGCUAUUAAGUAUACAAAGCAUGUGAACCUUACUUAAUGCUACUGUAAGAAUGUAGAUGUCAAAUGUCUUAACGUGAGAUGAGCAUCACCCGCAUGGUAAAUAACAGAAGUUAAAAGAGCUCAUAUAUUAAUUCCGGAAAAAGUAAAAUUAAUUCGAUGAUUGAGUCGGUUAAUUGAUAGAGUUAAAACAAUUGGAAUUUCAUCAUCGGACCACAUUAUUCCACACACAUUGCUGCGAAAUAAGAAUCUUUCAUGAAAUGAAACACUUUAUCGUGUUAUUGAUAUUUGCAAAACAUUUGAGUCGGCAAAUAUUUACAAGGGCAUUUUGGAUUCCAAGAAACAAACAGUUGCUGUUGCGCUAUCAUCGCAGAACAAUGAACCGGAUUUAAUCAAUCGUCGUUUCUGUUUCAACUGUGGUGGUGAUUGGAAAUCGGAGCACAAAAGCAAAUGUCCAACCAAUGAUCACACAUGUCAAUGUGAGAAGAAGGGACAUUUUCGCAAGAUGUGUCGACCUAAUAAAAACAAACCAGAAUCAUAUGCAUCAGAGUCGAAGGCAAAUGGAAAACAACGAGAGAAAUGGCAGUGUUGCCAACACAUCCUAAGGAAUUUUGCGAAAGAAUUCAACAUUCAUUAUUUGACGAAAUUGUGAACGGGUAACGAUCAAAUUGUGCUCACAUAGUUUUACUAAUAUUAAUAGCGCCAACUAAGAUUAUAUUUUAAUUAAAUCAAAGAGGCUAAAUCUAAUAUAUACGUUAAUGUGAAAAACGUCAACCAGAGGGUAGAAAUUUUAUACAUACUUAUAAGUACGUACACACAAAAAAAUUUUGGUGUCAAAACAGCACUCUUCGAUGUUGCUGUAAAGGUGUAAUUUUAACUCUUAACUAUUCCCCAAAAUUUGCCCCCACAUAAAGGCUGGAAUGAAACGGAACUCGUAUUUAAUUAAUUUUUUAUUCAGUUCAAAAACUAUUUUCAUAUAUUAUUUAGAUAAAAAUUACAUGCGUUAUUAUUAUGUAUAUAUUAGAAUUAAUAUGAUAGCAAUCAUAAGGCUUUUUAAAUUUCAGGUUGUCAAAGGGGAGGGGAUUACCUCCUUAUUUUUCGAAGGAGACACCUCGUAAAUAUUAAGAAUAUCAUCAAAAGUUGUGGUAGUAUAAUAUUGAACAUAAAAUAAUAUAUUAUUAUUAAUAAUAUAAAUAUCUUUUAUUUGUGCAAAUAUAA